GUAAUUUUACCUUCCUUCUAAGUCCCUCCUGUGGGUUCCUCUCCACAUGCCUCACUUGGCCCCUCUGGCCAACUUCAGGGGCCCAGAGUUUGUAGAACACGACAAAUGCUCCCUCUAUCAAGUGGGGUGCAGGAACCUGCCUGCCAAAUCAGGAGCCAGACCUCUGACCUGGGUCUUCAGGAAAGGCAACUGCCAAGUCUUCUACUCAACUUCCAGCUCAUGCUGGGGCUUCCAGAAUGACCUUUGCUCCCUCCCACUCUCGCAGUGGCUCAAUCUCCAAACCUGGAAGCUCUCUACUCCAUGACUUUCCCUGCCUCCCCCAGGAUUCAUUCUCUAACAGCCGAGCCUCUGGCACUAGUGUGCCCUGUGCCCCUGUCCAUGGCAAUGCUCUUCUUACUGGCUCCACCCUGUGUCCCAGCCCCCCGAGCCUCUGGGGAGGCCUUUGCACCCUUGUUCACAUCAUGCCCACAUCACCCCUAUUUGUAAGGAACUGAUGGGGUAAAAGGAGGCAUAAAGGCAGGUCGUCAUGCAGAAAGAAUUCACAGGCUCAGGCCGCCGCAGAUUCAAGGGACAAAACGAUUUAUUAUGAUGCCAUAAAACAGGCACAGUUCCCUAGUGGGAUUCACAUUUAAUAAGGAGGAAGUUGGGACCUUUUGUGAGAAAAGACUCAGUGCUUGGGUACCCUGAAGAUUGGGGGUGCUGGGCAAUGAUUUUUGGUAGCUUCUCUGAAAGAAGUCAGGUUCAAACCAUCUCAAAUCAAGCAAAGACACUGAUUUGGACAUUUAGUUAAGUAAAGGGUAAUACACACUGUGAACCUCCUCUUUAAGGGGGGGGGCAACCCAGCAGAGUGAUGUGGGGGUUUAUUCAGAGAAGGAAAAGGAAGCAAAACAUAGGAGAAUUUGGCAGCAAGUUGGAUGAUCUCAGUAGAUUUUGCACUUCCUUUACAAUGCGAGGUCGGGUCUGCAUGAGAAAGGUCCCUGUGAACAAGGUAAAAACCGUUUUGUUCUGGAGCGGGGGCAGCACCCUAUACAUGGAAAAAGCAAAGGGUCCUUUUAUUCCCAUGGAGUCUCUGAGAGAAAGUGGUAGAAUUACUGGGGCUGCAGCAUCAGCUAAGACUCCAUGAUUCCCCUCAAAGACCUGUGACCCAAAUUCAUUUGGGGCUGGGAAUGAAUGUCUCCUUUUCCAUAACCAUUUCCAGCUGAUAAGGGGCAUAGAACUGCUUCUGCUUAAGUCAUGAGUGAGUGGGGCUGGAUGGGAAUUGCAGCCCAGCAGCAUCCACAGGUGGGAGGAGCAGCAUCCACAGGUGGGAGGCGUACCAUGCACAGGUGGGCUGACACUUCCAGAGGCUGAGGUGCUGACAGAUAUCUGUCCUGUAGGGCCCUCCCAAAUCUGAUUAAGACUUGUCUGGAAGACACAAAUCUUAUUAAACUGCAAGGACAAAAGUAAAAACAAAAUAAUAAUUAGGAAAGUGUCACUAGAGAGGACAUUAGAUGUCCCUAAACGCUGCUGAGGAAGGUCAAGUAUCCAACUGACCUUCUUGAGGAUCGGUCAGCCCAUAGACCAGUUUGUUGGAGGGUGUGGAUGAAAACACACCAGGAAGUAUUGGCCAGAGCACAGAGACCCCCUUCAGAAGCAAAGAGGUGAUCUAAAGUGAAGCAGUUCCCAAGGUGUGAAGGGACAUUUGGAAACCUUUGAGGGGCUGGGAGUUGUUCUGGGUGACUUUCUGGAUGAUUAAGACUAGCAAUGACAUCAUUAAGUUCCAAAUAACCAAGGUACAGGACAAAUAUUGUUUUUUCCCUAAAAGCCAACCAAAUGGAAAGUGGAAAGGGUGGGAGAUACAUUUUAGGUGGGGGGUAGAUUGAUUAGGAAGGGCUGGCAGGUGGGCGUUGAGGGAGCCACCACGUACAAACAGCCAGGAGAAGAUCAAUACAAAAGUAUAUGCAGCAUGGGUAGAAUUGAAAAGGGAGAUGUUGGGAAUAGAAGAGUUUUAUCAUCCCUUGAUGAUAAAAAUCA
RNAcentral lists this long non-coding RNA (2013 nucleotides) under Sarcophilus harrisii (Tasmanian devil). RNAcentral's name for it is "lncRNA (ENSSHAG00000031934.1)". The record is from RNAcentral. Lineage: Eukaryota; Metazoa; Chordata; Mammalia; Dasyuromorphia; Dasyuridae.